This 441-nucleotide ribosomal RNA is filed under the name uncultured bacterium. Its description in RNAcentral is "partial 16S ribosomal RNA". It matches the Rfam family "Bacterial small subunit ribosomal RNA", at positions 339 to 795 of the family's 1533-position model. The record is from RNAcentral.
CUACGGGCGGCACCAGUGGGGAAUAUUGGACAAUGGACCAAAAGUCUGAUCCAGCAAUUCUGUGUGCACGAUGAAGGUUUUCGGAUCGUAAAGUGCUUUCAACAGGGAAGAAGUUCUGACGGUACCUGUAGAAGAAGUGACGGCUAAAUACGUGCCAGCAGCCGCGGUAAUACGUAUGUCACAAGCGUUAUCCGGAUUUAUUGGGCAUAAAGGGCAUCUAGGGGGCUUUGUAAGUCCGAUGUUAAAAUGCGGGGCUCAACCCCGUAUUGCGUUGGAAACUACUUGGCUAGAGUAUUGGAGAGGUAGGCGGAACUACAUGUGUAGAGGUGAAAUUCGUAGAUAUAUGUAGGAAUGCCGAUGACGAAGGUAGCUUACUGGACAAUUACUGACGCUGAAGUGCGAAAGCUAGGGGAGCGAACAGGAUUAGAUACCCGUGUAGUC